Molecule: long non-coding RNA, 3884 nt
Filed under: Coffea arabica (coffee)
Lineage: Eukaryota; Viridiplantae; Streptophyta; Magnoliopsida; Gentianales; Rubiaceae
Description: long non-coding RNA (CARA_LNC000254)
Source: RNAcentral
UUCAACUUUUUUCUCUUCUCUAUCUACUCACUUGAGAGAACCCCAACUCUCUCAAAACUUUUCUCUUUUCUCUUUCUGGUGUGGAAUCCUCAUCUUCUUUUUCAUCUUCUACCUAUUUCCCCAUUAUAUCUAUAAUUAUCUCUUGGAUUUUCGACGGUAGGUGGUGGAUUAAGACGGCUUAAAUCGAGAAAAGCAAUAUUACGAUUUGAGUGGUGGAUCGGAAAGAAAUUUUUUAAAGAAGCAAUAUUCUCGGUGAUAAGGUUAGUUUAUUUAAAGUUUUAUUAGUAAUAAUUUUAUAAUAUUUGCAGUUAUUUUAAGUUCUAUAUAUUAUAUUGCUUUUUAUUUAUUCAAUUUAAUAGUCAGAUGUUUAUUUAUGGUUUGUUUUUAAGAUUAAAUGUGUAAUUUAUAUUUUAAAAGAUUAUUUAAUUUGUUUGAUUUUAAGAUAAUGUGGCAAGUAUUUGUUUGAUUUUUAGAUUAUGUGACAAGUGUGUUUGUUUCAUGAUAAUUUACAUUUUUGAAGACGAUUUGUUUGAUUUUAGAAUUAAUUUUAUAGAGGUAGUAGUCUUUUAGGUGAAUGAUGAAUAAAAGGUGAAUGAUAAAUACUAAUAAAUGGUGAAUGAUGCCAAAUAUACUGUCAAUAGAUGAUAAAUGGUGAAUGAUGCCAUUAAGUCGUAAGUCAGUAGAUGAUAAAAGGUGAACAAUGAAUAAUAAUAAAUGAUGAAUGGUAAAUGGUAAAUAGUAAAUAGUAGUAAAUGAUAAAUGGUAAAUAGUAAAUAGUAAAAAGUACGUGGUAAAUGGUAAAUAAUAAAUAGUAAAUAGUAAAUAGUAAGUGGUUAAAAUUAAAUAGUAAAAAUAACAAUAAUGCAAUAUGAGAUAGUGAGAUAGUAACUGAUAAUUUAAUAGUACCAGUACUAUUAAUAUAUGGUUUAGUAAUAUUAAUAAGAAUAAUAACUAGUAAAUAAUACUAAUAUUUUUAAAAAUAUAAGUUACAAUAAUUUACAUUAUACAAUCAUAGUCUAAUAGUAACUAUGAUUAAUUAAAGAAGAACUAUUAUUCUAACAGUUUGAAUAAUAUUGUCGCGCCCCAUUUUUUGAUAAAUAAAUAAAAUGGUUUAAAAAUAUAUUUUUUGAUUCAAUUUGUGAUUGAAAAAUGAAUUGUGAUUUAAAAGAAAAAAUGGGUCUAAAUGGGGGAUUGAGAAUGCGACGAUUUGACCCAAAAUUAUAGUUUAAAAAGGGUUUUUUGAAAUAAAAAUUGGAGUCACCACUUGGUAAUGAGUUAAGGUGUACCAAGUCACCAAAAAAUGAAUUUUUAAAGAAAAAAUCAGAAAAAGUAGAAAGAAACCCCUUUUAAACGACUCCUAGUCCACGUAAACCAAAGAAAAAGGUUCGGGAGUCACAUUUGACAAAGGGGAAGGCAAGGAAAAAAUUCAAGGCACCCCUUUGACCUAACCAAGGCUAGUUGCAUGAUUUAAUCAAAGAUUUUCUUGUUUUAACCAAAGAAUUUAUUACAUUUGGAUGCACUACAUGAAUGCAAAUCCUAGACCUAGGGAUAUUGGGGAAAUUUCUCUUCAAAGGUUGAGUGGUGCCAAUCACAUUAAUUGUGAAACCCAAUAACGAUCCUUUGAAGAAAUCACGAAUAAUGCGAGUGAGAUGCAAAUGAAUGGAAUGCAUGUAUGCAAUGUGAGGACAUGAGUUUGAAAAAGUAAUAAAAGGCAAUAAAUAUGUAAAUGAAAAUGUGCACGUGAGUGGGCAAGGUACGGUAUGUGAAAUGAUAAUAUGAAGUGCAUGUGUGCAAGUGAUGAUAAAAGUGUUCGUGUGCAAGUGAAGAAACAUAAAGGUGCAUGUGUGCAAAAUGUGAGGAAAAAUGAAAGUGUGAUGAGAGUAUAAAAUGGUAGAGUGGAUUUAAAAAAUGCAUGAGCCUAGGGAAUUCAUGCAUAUUGGGUACGGGGAGACCUAAAUCGUGACUCAAUUUGCCCUUUUAUAGAGGGAAUACAAGCGUGCUAAGGCUUAGAAGAAGCCACACUCGUCUAUAUCCCAUAUUUAAGGGGACUCGUCAAGCAAAUGUCACUAUAACUAGCAUGAGAUGCAAAAACCUAAAAUGAAAGGGAAAGGAUCGGAGGAACAUACCAAAUGCUAAAAAACUAAGAAAAAAUGCAUGAAAUGAAGUGAAACAUGCAAGUAUGGACUCACGAGAGAAAUCCCUAAGGGUCUAGCGUUGGACUAGCCCAUUCUAUGAAUUCCUACUAGCGUUGGACUAGUGGAAACGUACAUUCAUCCAUCACAUUCAUUCAUGGCUAUGGAAAGCGAGUAGACAUGCCAAACACCCAUAAACACAUAGCACAUAACAUUUAGCAUGCUUGACUAGAUGCAAGAGCCUAAUAAAACAAAUUAACACAUAGCAACAAAAGCAAGCAAUCAAGCUAAUGAACCUAUUACAUUUGCUAGCUAGGCACAUGUCUUCAAUAGGUCUUCAUCAAGUGCUCCUCCAAGUCCUAUCUAUUACAAGCCAAGAGGUGUACACAUACCCCAUAAAUAGAAUAACUUAACGAAAAGCAAGAGUAAAUGAAAUAAAAGGAAUUAAGGAAAAACUAGUAAAGCAAGUAGACAUGCAAUUCUCACGUAGCACGUUGGAUCACAUAAGAGAGACAAAAAAGAUAAAAGAAAUUAUACCGCCUCCUUUUGUGGUGCUAAUAGGGUGGACAAGACUUAAAUGGCUUAUUUAUCCUCCAAAAUAAAAGAAAUGGUUAAGGUACCAAUUUAUUUGGGAAAAUUAAAGAAAAUAGGCAAACACAAGCUCAUUUAGACACAAAGUUCACAAAUUCAUGCAAUUAAGCACCACCUUAACAAAACAUGAUCAUUAAUGAAAGCAAACAAGCAAUCGAAUUGAAAAAUUGAGGCUACCAAGGACUCAAUUGUGAACAUUAACCAAGCACUCAAGCCUAAUUAAACAUUUUAGGAACUUCAAGGGCCAAGAGCAAAGAAAAGGUCAAGUAAAGGUUAAAAUGCAACUACUUCUAGGACCAAAUUGCAAGAUAUUGGAAUGUAAUUGGGCCUUUGUAGCAUAAAGGGAAGCUUGGGGGUUAAAAGGCAAUUUUUUGGAAACUUUUCAUGCAUGCAACGAUAACUAAAGCCUUCAUUACUUCUGCAAUUCACGUAUGAAGCUUUCUGCAGUUUUUUCUUUUCCAGCCACGGCUUUUUCUUUCCAUUUCAUCAUGUACACCAGAUUUGAUUCAAAUAUACGGCUUUGAUCAGAUAUUUUUCAACCCAACAUCACAACCUUAAACCAAGUAAAAGACUACAUAAUGAUCACAAUCCAAAUGACCAGAAAACAUGGAAAUAUAUCAUACCAAAACUCUGAAACAUACAUGCAGAAAUGGUUUCGGCAGCCUGCUUGUUUGCAUUUCAGCAAGGUGUUCGAUCAUGAUUCAUUUGUUUUAGACCCUAGGCAUGCAAACUCAAACACUACUUAUCUAAUUUCUUCCUUUUCAGAACAAGAUUAACUAGCACAUUAGAUGACAAAGCUCACUUGACGAGCUGUUGCGGAGAAGAAAACAGCAGAGGUAUAGGAACGGAUGCAGCAGUUUUUUUCUACUUCAGCCUAGAUAUGUUUGUGUGUGAGAACUCAAACAAACUCUACGCAUUUGACAGCCCAAACCGAAUGUAAUUCGCACAAAACAAUAAGCCACCACCUGAUCUACUUGCUUUACAAUGCAACAAAAGAAUCAAUCAAGCAAAAGGAGCCUGCGAAGUAACGAAGCAAAUUUUCUGCUACAGCAUUCAUCCAGAGUUAUUUUUGCAACUUUAAGCUCUCAAAUACAGGGUUCAUAGGAGACUUCAAACAAAAGCCAGCAAAGACCAAAACUUUCACAACCAGCAAUAAAAAAC